UUAGUUCUUUCAUGUGGUAUCAGAGCAUGCUUCAUUUUUACCCAAUUGCAUGUGGUGGGUUCAUAUUCAUAUUUAUUAGAUAAAUUUUGGUUUGAACUAAAAUGGAUAUAUUAUGAUUUUGGCUCUAGAUUAAGUGUUUUUGUUCUAUUAUUGUAAUUAGCCUUGUUAAUGGCUUAUUUUUAUUGUUGCAAAGUGUUUGUAAUUUUUUUAAAAUAAAAAAAAGUCAUUAGAGUUGAAGUUAGGCUGUAACUGGUUCAACCGGGUGAGAGAAUUGAAAAAAAUGAAGAAAAGAAGGUCACAGACCCGAAAACCCGGCCUUGACCCGCUUCGCGACCCGCCUGCGCCCGACCCGUGUGCGCCUGGGCCUGUUUAGUUAAUUGGGCCGGUUCAAGCCAAUAAAUUUGGUUUUUGGGCCGGUUCAAGCUGUUUCGGUUGGUUUUUCAGUCGGUUCGAAGUUUUUGGGAGUGGUUCUGUACUACACCAAAUUAAUUAUGUAAUAAUUUAGUACUUAGCUUAAUUUAGGAGCCAAAAAUUAGUCCAUUUUAGGGUGUUUUUUUUAUUUAUGCAUGUGAUGUAUGAUUAAAUUACUUUAAAUUUGUAUGUGCAUUUUGAAUGUCAUAUAGAUUUAAAAUCCCACCAUAGGUUAACAUGUUCAUGCAUUAAAAUGUAUGAUAUAAAGGUUAUAU
RNAcentral lists this long non-coding RNA (686 nucleotides) under Cucumis sativus (cucumber). RNAcentral describes it as "long non-coding RNA (CSAT_LNC003115)". Lineage: Eukaryota; Viridiplantae; Streptophyta; Magnoliopsida; Cucurbitales; Cucurbitaceae. The record is from RNAcentral.